Paramuricea clavata is the source of this 121-nucleotide non-coding RNA. The record is from the annotation of a GenBank genome assembly. NCBI's taxonomy places the organism in Eukaryota, Metazoa, Cnidaria, Anthozoa, Malacalcyonacea, Plexauridae.
GUCAGGAUGGCCGAGCGAUCUAAGGCGCCAGACUCAAGUUUGAAAACUUGCUCCGCUACUGCGCAGCCAAAGGACGUUCUGGUCCACUAAUGUGGCCCGGGUUCGAAUCCCACUCCUGACA